ACACGGAGAGGAGGUGGUCCGAGACAUGAAGUACUUCCGGACGCGUGAGGUGGCUGCCCGCUAGCCGCCCGAGACAUCGGACGGACCGCGAAGAUCCGCAGGUGCCCCGCCGGACCACCCGGCACGGGCGGCAGCGAAUCCCCGCAGUCACCGCAGCCCGUGGGAGCCGCGACCUCGUCCCUCGCGGCAGGGCCCCGUCAGGGGUUCCGGCCCACGGGCUGUUCCCU
Molecule: small RNA, 227 nt
Filed under: Cellulomonas sp. B6
Lineage: Bacteria; Bacillati; Actinomycetota; Actinomycetes; Micrococcales; Cellulomonadaceae
Description: Actinobacteria sRNA Ms_IGR-5
Rfam family: Actinobacteria sRNA Ms_IGR-5
Source: Rfam by way of RNAcentral